This 440-nucleotide ribosomal RNA is filed under the name uncultured bacterium. RNAcentral describes it as "partial 16S ribosomal RNA". It matches the Rfam family "Bacterial small subunit ribosomal RNA", at positions 338 to 795 of the family's 1533-position model. The record is from RNAcentral.
CCUACGGGUGGCUGCAGUAGGGAAUAUUGCGCAAUGGAGGCAACUCUUAACCAGCAACGCCGCGUGGAGGAUGAAGGUUUUCGGAUUGUAAACUCCUUUUGUUAGAGAAGAUAAUGACGGUAUCUACCGAAUAAUCCGCGGCUACCUCCGUCACAGCAGCCGCGGUCAUACGGAGGGUGCAAGCGUUACUCGGAAUCACUGGGCGUAAGGAGCGCGUAGGCGGGAUAGCAAGUCACAUGUGAAAUCCUAUGGCUUAACCAUAGAACUGCAUUUGAAACUGUUAUUCUAGAGUAUGGGAGAGGUAGGUGGAAUUCUUGGUGUAGGGGUAAAAUCCGUAGAGAUCAAGAGGAAUACUCAUUGCGAAGGCGAGUUGCUAGACUGUAACUGACACUGAGGCACGAAAGCGUGGGGAGCAAACAGGAUUAGAUACCCCUGUAGUC